This 362-nucleotide unclassified non-coding RNA is filed under the name uncultured Nitriliruptoraceae bacterium. RNAcentral describes it as "contains 16S-23S intergenic spacer region". The record is from RNAcentral. Lineage: Bacteria; Bacillati; Actinomycetota; Nitriliruptoria; Nitriliruptorales; Nitriliruptoraceae.
UCCCGUUUGCUACGGGCAGUCUCGCUAGAGAAGUACAACUAGCGACAAGGGUUGCGCUCGUUGCGGGACUUAACCCAACACCUCACGGCACGAGCUGACGACAACCAUGCACCACCUGUACACCUCGGACGAACCCGAUGCAUCUCUGCAUCUGAACGGUGUAUGUCAAGCCCAGGUAAGGUUCUUCGCGUUGCUUCGAAUUAAGCCACAUGCUCCGCCGCUUGUGCGGGCCCCCGUCAAUUCCUUUGAGUUUUAGCCUUGCGGCCGUAGUCCCCAGGCGGGGUGCUUAACGCGUUAGCUUCGGCGCGGAAAUCGUGAACUGAUCCCCACACCUAGCACCCAUCGUUUACGGCGUGGACUAC